RNAcentral lists this ribosomal RNA (305 nucleotides) under uncultured bacterium. RNAcentral describes it as "bacterial SSU rRNA". It matches the Rfam family "Bacterial small subunit ribosomal RNA", at positions 334 to 636 of the family's 1533-position model. The record is from RNAcentral.
UUGUCCUACGGGGCGCAGCAGUAGGGAAUUUUCGUCAAUGGGCGCAAGCCUGAACGAGCAAUGCCGCGUGAGGGAAUAAGGCCCUACGGGUCGUAAACCUCUUUUGCCGGGGAGCAAGGGCGGGGACGUGUCCCGGCCCGGAGAGUACCCGGAGAAAAAGCAUCGGCUAACUCCGUGCCAGCAGCCGCGGUAAUACGGAGGAUGCGAGCGUUAUCCGGAUUUAUUGGGUUUAAAGGGUGCGUAGGCGGGCUUUUAAGUCAGCGGUAAAAAUUCGGGGCUCAACCCCGUCCGGCCGUUGAAACUGG